Molecule: ribosomal RNA, 495 nt
Filed under: uncultured bacterium
Lineage: Bacteria
Description: partial 16S ribosomal RNA
Rfam family: Bacterial small subunit ribosomal RNA
Source: RNAcentral
AUGAACGCUGGCGGCGUGCCUAAUACAUGCAAGUCGAGCGAACAGACGAGGAGCUUGCUCCUCUGACGUUAGCGGCGGACGGGUGAGUAACACGUGGAUAACCUACCUAUAAGACUGGGAUAACUUCGGGAAACCGGAGCUAAUACCGGAUAAUAUAUUGAACCGCAUGGUUCAAUAGUGAAAGACGGUUUUGCUGUCACUUAUAGAUGGAUCCGCGCCGCAUUAGCUAGUUGGUAAGGUAACGGCUUACCAAGGCAACGAUGCGUAGCCGACCUGAGGGGGUGAUCGGCCACACUGGAACUGAGACACGGUCCAGACUCCUACGGGAGGCAGCAGUAGGGAAUCUUCCGCAAUGGGCGAAAGCCUGACGGAGCAACGCCGCGUGAGUGAUGAAGGUCUUCGGAUCGUAAAACUCUGUUAUUAGGGAAGAACAAAUGUGUAAGUAACUAUGCACGUCUUGACGGUACCUAAUCAGAAAGCCACGGCUAACUACGU